AACCAACGCUGGCGGCGUGCCUCAGACAUGCAAGUCGAACGAUUAAGACUCUCUUCGGAGAGUGUAUAAAGUGGCGCACGGGUGAGUAACACGUAGGUAAUGUACCGAAGGGUGGGGAAUAACUUAGGGAAACUUAAGCUAAUACCGCAUAAUGCAGCGGCUCGACAUCGAGACAGUUGUUAAAGGAGCAAUCCGCCUUUUGAGCAGCCUGCGGCAGAUUAGCUAGUUGGUAAGGUAAUGGCUUACCAAGGCUACGAUCUGUAACCGACCUGAGAGGGUGGUCGGUCACACUGACACUGAAUAACGGGUCAGACUCCUACGGGAGGCAGCAGUCGGGAAUUUUGGGCAAUGGGCGAAAGCCUGACCCAGCAACGCCGCGUGAAGGAUGAAGUAUUUCGGUAUGUAAACUUCGUAAGAAUAGGAAGAAUAAAUGACGGUACUAUUUGUAAGGUCCGGCUAACUACGUGCCAGCAGCCGCGGUAAU
RNAcentral lists this ribosomal RNA (484 nucleotides) under uncultured bacterium. RNAcentral's name for it is "bacterial SSU rRNA". It matches the Rfam family "Bacterial small subunit ribosomal RNA", at positions 32 to 524 of the family's 1533-position model. The record is from RNAcentral.